Leopardus geoffroyi (Geoffroy's cat) is the source of this 2265-nucleotide long non-coding RNA. RefSeq lists it as uncharacterized. The record is from RefSeq and is a predicted model, not a curated record. Lineage: Eukaryota; Metazoa; Chordata; Mammalia; Carnivora; Felidae. The transcript has 2 exons.
UCUGAGCUGUCAGCACAGAGCCCGACGUGGGGCUCGAACCCACGAACCGCGAGAUCGUGACCUGGGCGGAAGUCAGAUGCUUAUCCGACUGAGCCCCCCAGCACCCUGACGAUUUUUGCCUGAAAAGUGAUUGUGAGGGUUUCCAGGCGGGGAUGUGACUCCCCCUCGUGCACUAGUGAGUUAGCUCCGUGGACGGAGCGCUUCCCCUGCGGGCCCUACGGUGGCCUGUGCUUCCUACUUCGACAGCGGAUUCUGAUAUAUGACUGUCAUUAUUUUGAGGCACACGUUGUCCCAGAUUGGUCUUACAAGACGCUGUUUGACUCGUUUCUGAUGCACAGCCCCUGCUCUGUCUCCCGAGAAUCCAAGGAGCUCAGCAACCCACACACCGGCUUCCAGAGCAUUCUCCAUCAAAACCACCAGGCUGCUCCUAGAACGGCUGGCCCGGGCCGGGGCCUCGGGAGUGACAGGCUCACCGUGAAACCUCCCUUCAUACAACGUUCGAUGCGGCCACUCAGUGUGCAUCAGCCCAAAGCGCCCCCAGAAGGUCCCCCUGGGGUUACGUCCGAGUCCUCUCAGGUCACUUUCCUGCCUGCCCGCGGCCACCGGGGCCACCAGGCCACAGGGCCUCAUCCCAGCACCUAAACGGCGCCAGGUGGGGCAGCAAGGAUCAGCAGAAGCCCCCAGUACCUCUGGACCAGCACCCCAGGCCCAGGGUGCCCUCGGGCUCACCUGUGCAGGCUGACGGCCAAGCUCACCAAGGAGACUAUAAAUCCCACCCAGAGCGUUAGCGAGGCGCUAGCUCUCCAGUGAGACGUUUGCACAUCACGGGUGUGUCAGAACCUUCGAAAGCACCACAGAAUUCAAGAGAAACACUGCCAUGGAGAAGAUGCCCAUAGGAUCCCAGAGACCAGCCCAGAGCCUCAGACAGGAGCUCAGAAAUACAGGAGGAUACAGGCAUUCACGGGCUCUUUAACUGAUGUGUUUAUUUCGUGCUGAGAGUGGCCCCCCCUUUGCCAGCCUGGGAGUUGAAUGAGUUAGAGGUUUCCAGAGGGAAGCCAUGGGACAGGUUAGGACAGGCUGGUCCCUACUCAGAGGGACUCAACACACAGCAUCACCAGGUCCUGGCUGCCGGGCCCACCUCCCAGCCCUCGCAAACCCCCCCCUCCCCCGUCCCUCCCUUCUCCUGCAGCACACAGCCCUGAGCCCUCAGUGGCUGCCCACCGAAGGCCUGAGCCUGCUCCCCCUCUGCAAACCCCACCCCCGUGACCACUUCACCCCUGCGUCUGUCUCUGCCUCCACCUCUAUCCCCUCGGCUCCUGCCUCCGCCCAGUGUCUCGAGGGAGCGGAGCAGGGCCACUCAGGCCAGCAACCCUGCGUCCAUCGGGAGGAGCUGUUUUCUGCUACCAGCACCCUUCCCUCUGGCCAGCAGAAGGCUGGGGCCUUGCUGGCCUGGUGGGUCCUUUCUCUGCAGGUGAACUGGGGGUGGGGGGGUGGGGACAGGCAGGCAUCUCCUUGAAGGAGCCCUGAUGUUGGAGCUGCACCUCAACCUUGGGGAACCAGGGUCCGUGCCCCCCUGCUCUCUCAGUCCCUGGCGGGGUCCCGAGCCCUUCCCUUCCCCUGACGGCUCUCUUCCAUGGACCUCAGGGCCCCUAGGUCAGCAGCCUCCCCUACGGCUCACCCCACCCUUGGCUCACUUCCUGGGUAGCUCUUCACCGGCCCCAUGCUUCCCUCCAGGGCACAAGGAGCCCCAUGUGGGCUGGUUUCCAGUGCUGGGGGUGGGGGAGGGACACUGAACCCCAUGUCCUCGGUCAGUGUGCUCUCAUCAGGCAGCUCUGGGUUCUGAGGGCAGGGGUCCUGGUGCCCAGGGGAGGGGGCUUCUUGCCGAACCCGGCACUGUGACCCAUGGGGCUCCCCCUGCCCAGGGGCCAGGAGGCAGGAGAGCAGUCCGGGUCUCGGUGGGCAUCCCGGACCCUGAUCAGGAGGUCUUACCAGGCACGCAGGCAGUCUUCACGCAUCUUUCAGAACUCCAGGUCCAGGUGUGGCGGACAGUGGACAAGUGCCCUGGUGGUCACAUCCUAGAACUCUCCUUGACCCGGGCAGCACCCCGCAGGAGAAGGCCGGCCUUGCAGGAGGAUGCUACUCUUCACUGCCUCAGUGGGAGGAAGGAAAGCUUCCUACUACCCAGCAACAGUCCAGCCGAUGAGAGACUCUCACAGCUCAGCCAGUGAGAAACAGUCACAGCCCAGCCAGUGAGAAACAGUCAUA